Canis lupus familiaris (dog) is the source of this 1001-nucleotide long non-coding RNA. RefSeq lists it as uncharacterized. The transcript is spliced from 4 exons. The record is from RefSeq and is a predicted model, not a curated record. Lineage: Eukaryota; Metazoa; Chordata; Mammalia; Carnivora; Canidae.
UUUCAAAUAAAGUCUGGUUCACAGGUUCUGGGCUUAGGACUCGCACAUAAUAUUUUUAGGGCUGAUGUUUGACCCACUGGAGCAGUGAGAAAUCGAGUAAAAAGUAGUAUAUUCUGGAGGUUAAGAGUCAUUGAGGGAGUCCAUCAAAAGGAGAUGAACCCAAGGUGAGAAAGCAUGGAUUUUGAAGGGAAAUGUGCCACAGUGACCAGGAUGUAUUUGAGGUUAAUUAAUCCUCCUAGUGGACGAGAAAAGGAAGCCGUAACGAAUGGCAUGGCGGGUCAUGCCUAUGGACUCUGGCUUCUGAGUCUCUGCAGUGACUCUCCCUGCUUAUUUCAGUUCAACGCUCUUCAGUCAAUGUGAAUCUUCACCCAAGCGAUUGUGAUGAUGGGAUCUCAGGGAAUGUCCUGCAGAGCCUGCAGCAGGGGGAACCCACUCACCAUGUACGGAUCUACAAAGUGAUACAGCCCAAUGGGUGGAUGAACAUGUGCACUGCCUUGGUUUGAAGCUUGAAAAAGGCCAUAGAACUGGGAGAGACAGAGUACAACCAGGAGGUUCAGAAGAGGGAGGAGAACUGCUGAACAUGGACUCGAUUUCAGAACCCUGAGAUCAUGACCUGAGAUCAGAGAAGCACUCAGAAGCCUCUUGACAGAAAGAGGUGAACUUUUUAGCAUAAAGGAACACCGUUUUCAGAUCUUCACGAGCAGCUGCUAUCGUCCAGAGAACUGUCAGAUGUUGGCGGAGGCGAGAUGACCUCUCAUUCCCGACUCACGGUGGUAGACCUCUCACCUUCUAACUCAUUUCUGACUCUUGCGUUUUCUGACUAUGUGGCUCGAAAGGACAGAAGGAGGAACCUUGGCACAAACUGUGAGAUGAUAUUUGAAGCUAAUUGUGUGUAGUUGAAAAACCAACAAAUACACCCUUUUCAGGUACCGGGUGCCCUGUCCUGAGGUGGCUCUUAGGUUGUGUGUGUUAUCCUGUGGAGUUUCAUUCACCCACACAGG